CUAAUGGGGAAUUGCAGAUGCCUUGUGCACAAAGAUUUUGAACGCCCGUUGCACCAUCGGGUUGAUUCCCGGUAGUACGUCUGGUUGAGGGUCAAUGAA
Molecule: ribosomal RNA, 99 nt
Filed under: Acanthocheilonema sp. RAZI Marand
Lineage: Eukaryota; Metazoa; Nematoda; Chromadorea; Rhabditida; Onchocercidae
Description: partial 5.8S ribosomal RNA
Source: RNAcentral